GGGCCUGCACAAGCGGUGGAGUAUGUGGCUUAAUUCGAUGCAACGCGAAGAACCUUACCAGGCCUUGACAUGUACGGAUUAGCUGCGUGAAAGCGCAGUGACGGCUCUUCGGAGUUGGAACGUACACAGGUGUUGCAUGGCUGUCGUCAGCUCGUGCCGUGAGGUGUUGGGUUAAGUCCCGUAACGAGCGAAACCCUUAUCGUUAGUUGCCAGCGGGUUAUGCCGGGGACUCUAGCGAGACUGCCGUUGUCAAAACGGAGGAAGGUGGGGACGACGUCAAGUCAUCAUGGCCCUUAUGGCCUGGGCUACAAACGUGCUACAAUGGUCCGUACAAUGGGUUCCGAAGCCGCGAGGUGUAGGCAAUCCCAUCAAAGCGGGCCCCAGUUCGGAUUGCAGGCUGAAAUUCGCCUGCAUGAAGCCGGAAUUGCUAGUAA
Molecule: ribosomal RNA, 434 nt
Filed under: uncultured bacterium
Lineage: Bacteria
Description: bacterial SSU rRNA
Rfam family: Bacterial small subunit ribosomal RNA
Source: RNAcentral